This 429-nucleotide ribosomal RNA is filed under the name bacterium. RNAcentral describes it as "partial 16S ribosomal RNA". It matches the Rfam family "Bacterial small subunit ribosomal RNA", at positions 355 to 776 of the family's 1533-position model. The record is from RNAcentral. RNAcentral also lists the same sequence under 1 other name.
UGGGGAAUUUUGGACAAUGGGGGCAACCCUGAUCCAGCAAUGCCGCGUGUGUAAAGAAGGCCUUCGGGUUGUAAAGCACUUUUGUCCGGGAAGAAAUCGCACCUGAUAAUACCGGGUGUGGAUGACGGUACCGGAAGAAUAAGGACCGGCUAACUACGUGCCAGCAGCCGCGGUAAUACGUAGGGUCCAAGCGUUAAUCGGAAUUACUGGGCGUAAAGCGUGCGCAGGCGGUUGUGCAAGACCGAUGUGAAAUCCCCGGGCUUAACCUGGGAAUUGCAUUGGUGACUGCACGGCUAGAGUGUGUCAGAGGGGGGUAGAAUUCCACGUGUAGCAGUGAAAUGCGUAGAGAUGUGGAGGAAUACCGAUGGCGAAGGCAGCCCCCUGGGAUAACACUGACGCUCAUGCACGAAAGCGUGGGGAGCAAACAGG